Halioglobus sp. HI00S01 is the source of this 217-nucleotide regulatory RNA element. It matches the Rfam family "ilvB-OMG RNA". NCBI's taxonomy places the organism in Bacteria, Pseudomonadati, Pseudomonadota, Gammaproteobacteria, Cellvibrionales, Halieaceae. The record is from Rfam.
GUCUUACAGAUGGCAACGGCUAACGGCGAGUACCCUCGUCCCCUGGCCUACUGGCGUGAUCCGAUUAUUCAUGUCAGCUGUUUGUGAGUCCCGUAUUCAGUCGCACAGUACCUGUGCGAUUGAGGGCCAGACACUGCGCUACCCCGCAGGGCGACCGAUACACGGGCUUCGUGAUCGAUUCUUCCCUGGAGGAGCGUCUCCUCACGGGGCGUUUGCG